This 71-nucleotide transfer RNA is filed under the name Verrucomicrobiota bacterium. RNAcentral's name for it is "Verrucomicrobia bacterium tRNA-Gln". It matches the Rfam family "tRNA". Rfam says of the family: Transfer RNA (tRNA) molecules are approximately 80 nucleotides in length. Lineage: Bacteria; Pseudomonadati; Verrucomicrobiota. The record is from RNAcentral.
UGCCCGAUGGUGUAAUGGUAGCACAAAUGACUCUGACUCAUUCAGUCUAGGUUCGAGCCCUAGUCGGGCAA